This 142-nucleotide ribosomal RNA is filed under the name uncultured eukaryote. Its description in RNAcentral is "partial 18S ribosomal RNA". It matches the Rfam family "Eukaryotic small subunit ribosomal RNA", at positions 1299 to 1458 of the family's 1831-position model. The record is from RNAcentral.
UGGUGGAGUGAUUUGUCUGGUUAAUUCCGUUAACGAACGAGACCUCGACCUGCUAAAUAGAUCCGGAAAUCCAUCUGGAUUUUUUGGAGACUUCUUAGAGGGACUAUCGGUGUGUAGCCGAUGGAAGUUCGAGGCAAUAACA